CCCUCUCCCGCCCUUGGGACUGGACUGAAGAGGAGGGGAAGGAGCUGCUGGAAGCUUUAGGAGAAAGGCAAAGUUGGGCGUCUGAUUUCGCUUUUCAGCCGCCAGCUGGCUCCUGUCUCCCUGAGAACCUGGGGCCCGAGGGGAGUCAUUUUGGCUUUGGGAAGGGACAAAGAAAGAACACCAGAAUCUAAGCAUCUGGUGUGUGCUUGGAUAGAAAACAGCGGGCUGCGUUGUUUAGUAACUGCAGGUGCACUAGCAGGGACAAGCCCUCACUGUCCACUUUCUUGAGAAGGCCAGGGCUCUUGAUUCCUAUUCAGGGAGAACUUCAGAGUAGAAGUUGGGAGGGUCAGCAGGGCAGGCUCUGAGAGCCAGGACGUUAUGUCCUUAUAUGAGCACUGAUUUUAGAUAGGAAUUAGUCACUGAUUUGGGGAGAGAAGCCUGAUGAGACUAAUAUUUAACAAAUAUGCACCAGUGUGGUCUCAUUGGUUGUGUUUGGCCAGCAUUUAUUCGGACUGGCCACUGCCCAGGAUACUCUCACCACUGCCUGGCACCUGCCUUCUGUAAGGUCAGCUCUAUGACCCCCUCCCCCCACUUCCUAGGAAGCACCCUCUCCUUGGUCAGUGGGGCUUCCCAGAGGUAAGCUGAAGAUGGCAACCCAGUCCAGGUUUGGGUUCCAAGGAGAGAGCUCUGUGCUCCUCUCAGUCCAGAGCCUGAGGAAGCAGAGCUCACAGGCAGGCAUUCAAGUCCAUCCUGGUUCUCUUGGCAAGGUCUGGGAGGGACUCAAGUCCUGCAGGGACAAGAAUUGGGACAGGGUUCUGGACUUACCCAGGGCAAGGAGAGGAGGGGCCUUGGCAUAGCAGGAGGACCCAGUGGGGUCCACAAGAAGACCCUGGUCUAGGAGUGCUCUGGCUGGGGGCCGAGCAUAAAUCUGCCCCCGAGUAGCCUGAAAUUCCAAACUCAAGAUCCUCUGAGACUGUUUUGAUCAGUCUUACAUAGUAGCAGAGCCCAACGGCAGCAUAGUGGUUAGGUGCCUGAGUUUUGUAUCCAGACAGCCUGGGUGUGACUCUUACUGUGCCACUUACUGUUUGGAACAUCUUAAGUGACUGCCGCUCUCCAUGAUGGAUUUCCUCAUCUGGAAGGAUACCUAUCUCAAAGGGUAUUUUACAAAUUAGCGUUGUGAUAUACUUGGGACAAUAUGUGACUGGCAGUAAGAGCUCAGUAAAUAUUAGCUUCUGUUACUGUUUCAAGUUAAUCAGAUUGUUCUCCUCUUAAUGCAUAGUGAAGGCCACUAUAAAUGGGGAAUGAAACCUUUUAUGGGCAGAUGGUGAAGGAAAGAAAUGGAAGGAGGAAGAGAUGGGCCUUUAUUGAUGAAUUAAUGUAAAAGCCAGGGAAGUAGGUCCAGGGAAGGACCUGGGGCUCCCUAUGGGGCCAUCUUUGGACAACCAGAGGCAGUGUAAGGGAAGGUCAUGCGUGCUGAGUAGGGCAGGGGAGAAGCGUGAUUGCAAGCGAAGGGGCUAAAAAGGAGCGGUGAUUUAGGUCAGACAGACGUUCCCUCCUUCUUGUCAGAUGGCCUCUGACAUCUGAGUGAUGCCAGUGGCAGCUCCCUCCCUUGGCAGGCAUAACUGCCUGCUCCAUUGCCACCCAACCUUCCCUGGCCAUCACCCUGCUUUGCAGAGUCUUCUGAGUGAGAGUGAGUAGAAAAGGGAAGAGGCAGCUACUCAAGACCCCCCUCCUCCCCCACUUCCCUGGGCGGUACAGCAGCCAAGCUUCUCCCCUCCAACACCUUUAAACACUCUGCUAACUCUAGGAGCUACCUGCCCUUGAGGAUAACCAACUGUCGAACACACAAAACACAUUUCUCUCUGUGCUCUGGUUGCAGAACCCCCCACCACAGGUACCCUCUCUGAAGCAAAUGGCACCUUUGCUAUCCAUCUUUUAAAGAAACUAUGGGAAGAAAACCCCUCACACCAUGUGUUUUUUUCCUUCCCUGAAUGUCUCCUCUGCUUUGGCCAUGAUCUUCCUGGGGGCAAAAGGAAAUACCACUGCCCAAAUUGCAGACGGAGGAGGAAUUGUGUGUUGUCAUUAGAAUCAUUUACCAAAAGUGUCUGGGUUUCCUCCGUUCUAGCACAUGGCAGGAUUGUUUUCUUCUGGCUCCCUUGUGGGGCCAAAUGGCCAGUUCUGGCCUCUGGGUUAUGUGUAGAAGGGACACACACAGGAAUAUUAACCAACAGUUUGAGGUCCUCUAGAAUUCUUUUUGUCCAACAUGGUAUGGGCAACAUUUGUGAUGACAGCUACUCUACUGGCCUGGGUUCCCCAGUUUACCACCAACCUAUCCAUAAUGGAAAUACAGUCUGAAGAUUAAAUGACUCUUUUUUAUUUUAAGCCACCAAGAUUUGGGGGAUUAUUUGUUACCACAGUGUAACCAAGCCUAUCCUGACUGAUACAAUCACACAUUAGUUUUUUUCAUACCUUCAUAGAGCUGCUCACGAGGACUUCUUCCAGUACUAUUGGAAUGAGAAAGGAACUGAAAAAUGUGGUAGGACCUUGAAGAUAAUUUCCUCCAUGGCUCACUUUUCACAUAAACUCAGGGGUGUUGUUUCAUGGGAAGGCCCCAGGCUUGGAGUAAGUCAAUCAGCUCUUAAGUCUAGGCUCUGCCUCUGAUCCACUAAAGAACUUUCCUGAGACACAUAACUUUUCAGAACCUUAUAAGAGAUAGAUAACAGCAGUGUGGCUUACUGCCUCAUGAGACAUUUGUAAUCUAGUAAAAUAUGUAUGUGAAAGUGCUUUAUAAACUGUUUAAUAAUGUUUAUAUUAGCCAUACAAAUGUUGAUUGUAUAAUACUGAAGAUUUUUCUAGUUCAAAAAGUUUCUGUGACUGCAGAAGAGGUUUUUCAAGAAAACAAAUCCAAUUUUUACACUGGAAACCCAUAUUGUAGGUGGAGAAAGUGUUGGCUGGCCUGAGAAAUAGUUCUGAAGAUGGACAGAAUUAUACACCAGAUGUACAGCUUUAAGAGUGUGAGGACCUUCUGCCUCAUUCACAUUGGUUCCAUUUUGAGAGUCCUCUCUUGGAUGUCAUCUCUGCUCAGGUGAAUAACUUCCUUGUCCCUCCCUCUGCUCUUCAAGUUCCCGUCUGUAUGUCAUGGAAUUCCAGAAAGUCAGAGCUGGAAUGGCCACUGGAAACAUCUAGACUAGGGGUUCUCUUUGUUGGCUGCAUAGGAAAAUCUCCUGGGGAGCUAUUAAUGUUAUCUAGGCCUGGAUAUUUUCCUUUUUUUCAGAGUACUCCUUUGUAGUGUUUGACUUUUUAUCAUAAAUGUAGUUUUAACAAUAAACAUAAUUAAAUCAGUAAAAAGAUAAUGAUAUGCA
Felis catus (domestic cat) is the source of this 3362-nucleotide long non-coding RNA. RefSeq lists it as uncharacterized. The transcript has 2 exons. NCBI's taxonomy places the organism in Eukaryota, Metazoa, Chordata, Mammalia, Carnivora, Felidae. The record is from RefSeq and is a predicted model, not a curated record.